RNAcentral lists this long non-coding RNA (251 nucleotides) under Panax ginseng (ginseng). Its description in RNAcentral is "long non-coding RNA (PGIN_LNC009730)". The record is from RNAcentral. Lineage: Eukaryota; Viridiplantae; Streptophyta; Magnoliopsida; Apiales; Araliaceae.
GUGGUGCCAAGAAAACUUAAUAAUAUGAACAAAUACAUUCUUAGAAAAUUAUCUACAGACAUUAAUUAACAAGGGCCAACAAAUUCUCAAUGUUAUUAAAAAUGGUAUAUACUGACAAGUUCUGUACCAUGCUCCAAUUUGGGAUGCCAACAACUGACAAGCAAUAACAACAAAUUUAACAAAUAAUCCAAUUCAACAAGUAAACAUCUGAAUAACAAAUAAUGCAGUUACUAUAUUCCAUGCAACAGUAG